GGACCAUUAGUCCAGUGGUUAAGACGUGAGAUUUUGAUAUGGCAAGCUACGGCUGAGCAAAUCAAAAAUUCUCGAAUCCUCGGUUCGAUUCCGAGAUGGUCCU
Molecule: transfer RNA, 103 nt
Filed under: Gomphillus americanus
Lineage: Eukaryota; Fungi; Ascomycota; Lecanoromycetes; Ostropales; Graphidaceae
Rfam family: tRNA
About the family: Transfer RNA (tRNA) molecules are approximately 80 nucleotides in length. Their secondary structure includes four short double-helical elements and three loops (D, anti-codon, and T loops). Further hydrogen bonds mediate the characteristic L-shaped molecular structure. tRNAs have two regions of fundamental functional importance: the anti-codon, which is responsible for specific mRNA codon recognition, and the 3' end, to which the tRNAs corresponding amino acid is attached (by aminoacyl-tRNA synthetases). tRNAs cope with the degeneracy of the genetic code in two manners: having more than one tRNA (with a specific anti-codon) for a particular amino acid; and 'wobble' base-pairing, i.e. permitting non-standard base-pairing at the 3rd anti-codon position.
Source: Rfam by way of RNAcentral